UUCGAUUUCAUUCAUCAGAAAUUUUCUUUUAGUUUAUUCCAAUCGUAUAUCGAUUUCCCAAUAAAAAUUAUUUCUUACAUUUCCAAAUAUCUUCUUUUCUUUUUCACUUUUGCUACUUGCCUCAACCUUUUGAUAGAUCUGUUGUUGUCGAUCUGUUCUUAACAUGAUACCCAGAUCUUUGGCCAGUGUGUCAAGAUCGGUUCAUAACAUGUUGAUAGUUCAUAGGGUUCCCAUUCAAGACAAUGGGGUUAAGGUUCCUGUCGAGUCAUUGAUUCCAAAGUCACAUCAAUAGCAGACUCGUCUUCUGUUGCCAUAACAAAACUUCUGUUAUUGUUUUCAGAAUUUGUUAUGUCACAGUUUGCACCGAGUUCACUUGCUGGAUCCUUAUAAAUAUCCCGCAUUAAACGAUAUUUUUGAAUUUUGGAGGUUUUCUUCUUUGUCUGCUUCUUUCUUUUUGUUGUUACCAGCAUCUUUAAUCACUCUUUGUUCAUAAGUCGGUUUUCACCGUUGAUUCAAUCAUACCGUAAAAUAAAUAUCCGCUCAAAAUUUGGAAAAAUCAAUGUCAUACGAGUUGCAGUCUUGUGUAGAUCCUCUAAUUUUUUUAUAUAAAUUAAAUUCCAAUAUGAAAAAUAAAGGUAGCACGGAUGAUGAGAUUCACUGAUUACAAGGUGGAAACUAGAAACAAGAAUAAUGAUGCAGGUAGCACUAAUUAAGAAGUCCAAGACUUUUGACAACAGUUGUUCAGAAUCAGAGGCUGUUAUUUUUCUUAUCAUCAAUGUUUUGAUGGAUAAAGGUUGUGAUUGAUAGAAAUUUUGAUGAAUGUGAUAGAACUAUUAAGUUCGGUGUUGUCCUAAGAUGUUGAAGUGAUAGAACUAUUAAGUUCAAUGUUGUCCUAAGAUGUUGAAAGAUAUAGUGUUUCGGUUGUACAUCAUAACAUAUCAUAUUGUCUAAUAUCAUCUUACACGGUAUAGUAUCGUAUCAUACCAUACCAUUUUGUAUUGUAUCGUAUCAUAUCAUAUAUAAUAUCAUGUCAUGCCAUGAUGUACCUUAUCGUCGUAUCAUAUCAUAUUAUAUUAUAUUAUAUCGUAUUACAUAAUCGUGUACACCACACCAUACCAUAUUAAGAUU
This 1128-nucleotide long non-coding RNA is filed under the name Helianthus annuus (common sunflower). Its description in RNAcentral is "hypothetical non coding rna". Lineage: Eukaryota; Viridiplantae; Streptophyta; Magnoliopsida; Asterales; Asteraceae. The record is from RNAcentral.